GAACCGUCCAAACGUUUAUUCGGAAUUAUUGGGCUUAAAGGGUGCGUAGGCGGCUUUGUAAGUUGGGUGUGAAAUGCCUCGGCUCAACCGAGGAACUGCGCUCAAAACUACAAAGCUUGAGGGAGAUAGAGGUGAGUGGAACUAUGGGUGGAGCGGUGAAAUGCGUUGAUAUCCGUAGGAACACCGGUGGCGAAAGCGGCUCACUGGAUCUCUUCUGACGCUGAGGUACGAAAGCCAGGGGAGCGAACGGGAUUAGAUACCCCGGGUAGUCCUGGCUGUAAACGAUGAGCACUAGAUCGUAGGGGUUCCCAUGCCCUUACGGUCGAACUGAAAGGUUAAGUGCUCCGCCUGGGGAGUAUGUCUGCAAGGAUG
Molecule: ribosomal RNA, 372 nt
Filed under: uncultured organism
Description: partial 16S ribosomal RNA
Rfam family: Bacterial small subunit ribosomal RNA
Source: RNAcentral